Oenanthe melanoleuca is the source of this 964-nucleotide long non-coding RNA. RefSeq lists it as uncharacterized. The record is from RefSeq and is a predicted model, not a curated record. The transcript is spliced from 3 exons. NCBI's taxonomy places the organism in Eukaryota, Metazoa, Chordata, Aves, Passeriformes, Muscicapidae.
GCGGGCCGGGGGACGCAGCGGAUCUGGCGGAGGCCCAGGUGGGCCGGGCCGGGCCGGGCCGAACGGGGGAGGCACCGAGUCACCAGCGGCCCCGACGAGAUUUCACGUUGAGAGAUCAUUGUUGUAGAAUGUUUCAUCGUGCUGAAAUGAGCUGAGACGCAUUUCAUCAGGACCUCUAGAAGCAAUCCAUGCAAAUCUGUCUAACAGCAUGUAUCCGUUAUAAAAAUUCAGAUCUAUCCACAUGUAACAGCAUGGAAAAAGUGUUCAUGAUGGCAGAACAACCAUAAGCAGGAGAAAAGUCAUAGUCUGGUCUAAAGAAGUUUCCUGAGCAGCAUCCUCACCUAGCUCUGUUUCCAACUCAAUCCUGGGGCCGUCCUACUCUGUGCAUGUAAAAAUGACCUUCUACUCAUUAAACCUUGGCUUUGUGGGCAGUAGCAUCCUUGCAGCAAGGAAGACUGGUGGUAUCCAAGCAGCAGAUUGAGGGCAGGAUUUAUCAGACACUGCCUGGCACUCCUUAGACCUUAUCAGACAUCCUGUUUUUGAUUGUGGCACCUUUAUACAAGAUGCUGACAAACUGGACAAAGUUCAGAUGGAGGCACUGAGAUGGUUGGUGACCAUCUGCAAGCAGCAGUUGCAGCACUGAGGCUUUUUGAGCCUGGAGCAGAUCGCUUCAAGGGCAGUUAAUUCCUUCCUCCAGUAACCCAUAGGAAAGGGGUGGAAAAGAUGGAACAGGGCUUACCACAGCAGACCAUAGCAGGAGACCAAGAGACAAAAGACAUCAACUGAAACAGGACAUUCCUGAUGGAUGUUAGGAACAACUUUUUCCCCUUGAAGAUAAGUCAGGAGUCAGAGCAGGUUGCAGGGAGAGGUUGUGCAGUCCACCCUUGGAGAUUCUUAAGACGAUCUCGUGUGAUAUCACGUCUGACCCUCCUUUAAGCAAGAGAUUGGACCAGAACCUCCCUAC